RNAcentral lists this ribosomal RNA (253 nucleotides) under uncultured bacterium. RNAcentral's name for it is "partial 16S ribosomal RNA". It matches the Rfam family "Bacterial small subunit ribosomal RNA", at positions 524 to 776 of the family's 1533-position model. The record is from RNAcentral.
UACGUAGGGGGCAAGCGUUGUCCGGAAUCAUUGGGCGUAAAGAGCGUGUAGGCGGUUCGGUAAGUCGGCUGUGAAAGUCCAGGGCUCAACCCUGGGAUGCCGGUCGAUACUGCCGGACUAGAGUUCGGAAGAGGCGAGUGGAAUUCCCGGUGUAGCGGUGAAAUGCGUAGAUAUCAGGAGGAACACCUGCGGUGUAGACGGCUUACUGGACGGUAACUGACGCUGAGGCACGAAAGCGUGGGUAGCAAACAGG